GAUGAACGCUGGCGGCGUGCCUAACACAUGCAAGUCGAGCGAAGCACUUACUUUAGAUUUCUUCGGAAUGACGAAGUUUGUGACUGAGCGGCGGACGGGUGAGUAACGCGUGGGCAACCUGCCCUGUACAGGGGGAUAACAGUUAGAAAUGACUGCUAAUACCGCAUAAGCCCACAGCUUCGCAUGAAGCAGUGGGAAAAACUCCGGUGGUACAGGAUGGGCCCGCGUCUGAUUAGCUAGUUGGUAAGGUAACGGCUUACCAAGGCGACGAUCAGUAGCCGACCUGAGAGGGUGACCGGCCACAUUGGGACUGAGACACGGCCCAAACUCCUACGGGAGGCAGCAGUGGGGAAUAUUGCACAAUGGGGGAAACCCUGAUGCAGCGACGCCGCGUGAGCGAUGAAGUAUUUCGGUAUGUAAAGCUCUAUCAGCAGGGAAGAAAGUGACGGUACCUGACUAAGAAGCCCCGGCUAACUACAUG
RNAcentral lists this ribosomal RNA (481 nucleotides) under uncultured bacterium. Its description in RNAcentral is "partial 16S ribosomal RNA". It matches the Rfam family "Bacterial small subunit ribosomal RNA", at positions 28 to 507 of the family's 1533-position model. The record is from RNAcentral.